This 72-nucleotide transfer RNA is filed under the name Phycisphaerales bacterium. Its description in RNAcentral is "tRNA-Gln". It matches the Rfam family "tRNA". From Rfam's summary of the family: Transfer RNA (tRNA) molecules are approximately 80 nucleotides in length. The record is from RNAcentral. Lineage: Bacteria; Pseudomonadati; Planctomycetota; Phycisphaerae; Phycisphaerales.
GGGGCAUUGGUGUAAUCGGUAGCACGGCAGUUUCUGGUACUGCUAGUUGGGGUUCGAGUCCCUAAUGCCCUA